CCUUUGUCAUCUGAUUAGUCUUUAAAGAUGCAGCACUCUCUUUCCACCUCAUAAGGCCCUCAGUUCCUGAGAACUCAUCUUGAUCUCAUUCAGGAGAAAAGUAAAUCCCUCAAGAUCUUCCUUAUGAUGCUUACAGUCCAUGCUGCUCUUCCCAUGUGAAGAACUGACGUCAGUCAAAUUUGGCCCAAUCAAGAAAUCAAAGAAUAACAAAAGAAUUGCAAUGCAUUAAUAAAGACCUAGAUCCAUCCAGACUUUAAGAUCCUCUUCCAAAAGUCCAGUGGGAUACCUGAUUCAUCAUCCUGUCUUUCACCAGCCAAGGAAUGCAGAGCGUCCUGGUCAAGAGGCAAAGCUGGUCAGACAAGCUUCCGCCAGUAAGUUCAUUUCUUCUUCCAUAUUUCUGUCAUUCUCUUCUUCUCCGCCUCUCUCCAACUCUCACCAACUUGUGAUGAAUAAUUACUUUGAAAACAGGCAUUAUCUUUAUCAAGACGUCCUCAAAUAUCAGUUCUUUUAGAUCCUUCAUGGCUCUGUCCACCAACUUUGGGACAAGUAAAGGAAGAAUUAAAGAAAAACAUACUGUUCCUUUCUUUUUGAUCAGUGUGUUUAUGUAAGAAUACUCUUUUACUCCAGGCCUCCUGUGGAAUAGGAAAUUAAACAAAUUCUUACCUACUUCCUAAUUACAUUCAGCAUGCUUCCUGUCUUUCCCCAGUCUCAGUCUUAUGUAGGAUAAGAUUGUCCUUUGGAAAGGACAAACCAGCUCUGCAUACUUGCAUACAAGAUACUUUCUUAGCUGAAGAUUUUCAGAACCAUUUUCUCUGAUAAGGGUGUAAGGUGGGUGAAGGAGAUCACUCUCCAGAUCCAAUGAGAGAAGGGCAGGCCAGGGGUGGGAGUAGAAAUACAUAGAUUCCAAGUCUCUGUCAUUGUGAGCAAUUAAUUAACUUGACACAUGGAAGAAGCCUGAGUUGGGAAAUUUCAGAAGUAGGAAAAUAAUACUUGGCUUUAGUUUUCGUCCAUACAAAAACCAGGUUUGAUAAAAGAUGAUCAACCAGUACAUCACGGUAAAUAUAUGUGCUGAAUUUAGCUCAGGAGAUAUGGAGCUAGAGAUGUAGAGCCACGUAAGUGGCCAACCUGAAAAAUCAUUUUAGUCAUUGUGUGAAUAACACAUAGAAUUAAGGAAAGGGAGAAGUCUGAGAAAUUGGACCUUGGAAUUUUCUCUUUGCUUUGGUGGGUAAGAUGUGUUAAAAUUUAAGAUUGAUUAGAAAAUGACAUGAAUGUCGCCCAUGUUUUUUCAAUGAUCAUAACUAUCUUGCAGAUACCUACACACAAUUUUAACCAACUGAGAACAUAAGGAUUCAUGCUGUGGAUGUGGGAGCAGAAACGGACCAAGAUGUCAGCAAUGACUCCAGCGUUCUAAAAAUCCAGAAGAUCACUACAAACAAAUGA
Molecule: long non-coding RNA, 1440 nt
Filed under: Homo sapiens (human)
Lineage: Eukaryota; Metazoa; Chordata; Mammalia; Primates; Hominidae
Description: HSALNT0364699
Source: RNAcentral